RNAcentral lists this unclassified non-coding RNA (513 nucleotides) under Helianthus praecox subsp. hirtus. Its description in RNAcentral is "partial external transcribed spacer". The record is from RNAcentral. Lineage: Eukaryota; Viridiplantae; Streptophyta; Magnoliopsida; Asterales; Asteraceae.
GCAUAUGCYGGGAUGGCAUGCCAARGCGUGUGCUGGGAUGGCAUGCCUUGGCGUGUGCUGGGAUGGCAUGCCAAGGACAAGCAUGUGCUAGGAAGGCAUGCCAAGGCCAAGACAAGGCCAUGGCAAGCACAUGCAUUGCGAGCGAGACGAGAUGGUUACGUUUACCCCAAGAGUGCCCAAGGGAGAGGAAGGUGUCAAACGCAUACUGAGCCCCACUUCGGUAGUUUGGCACCCCCAUAGGCAUUCAGGCAAACAAGCCUAUGGGAGAAGUCUGUUGAGCUUGGCUGCCAUGUUGGGUAUUAUUCUGUGGAUGAGAUGAUGGCACAAGGAUGCUUGCUAGGCAACGUUUUGGCACCAGACCGCAAAUGCUACUUCAAGCUUCAGCGGGUGGAAUCUGCCUAUAGGGCGUUGCUUGCUUGUUGUGGAGUUGGGACACACCCAAUAUCUAUCAUCGACUGACGUAAUACUUGCAUGGCCCCAUAGGUAUUAAGGCAAGCGUGCCUAUGGGAAAAG